This 253-nucleotide ribosomal RNA is filed under the name uncultured bacterium. RNAcentral's name for it is "partial 16S ribosomal RNA". It matches the Rfam family "Bacterial small subunit ribosomal RNA", at positions 524 to 776 of the family's 1533-position model. The record is from RNAcentral.
UACGAAGGGGGCUAGCGUUGCUCGGAAUCACUGGGCGUAAAGCGCACGUAGGCGGAUCCUUAAGUCGGGGGUGAAAUCCUGGAGCUCAACUCCAGAACUGCCUUCGAUACUGAGGAUCUCGAGUCCGGGAGAGGUGAGUGGAACUGCGAGUGUAGAGGUGAAAUUCGUAGAUAUUCGCAAGAACACCAGUGGCGAAGGCGGCUCACUGGCCCGAUACUGACGCUGAGGCACGAAAGCGUGGGGAGCAAGCAGG